GUCAGGUGUGGUGGCUCACACCUGUAAUCCCAGUACUUUGGGAGGCUGAGGCAGGAGGAUUGCUCGAGCCUAGGAGUUCAAGAUUGGUCUAGGCAACAUGGCAAAACCCCAUCUCUACAAAAAAUAAAAAAAUUUGCUGGGCAUGGUGGCACAUGCCUGUAGUCCCAGCUACUUAGGAGGCUGAGGUGGGAGGAUCGAUUGAGCCAGGGAGUUUCAGGCAGCAGUGAGCCAUGAUCGUGCCUCUGCACUCCAGCCUGGGCAACAGAGCAAGACCCUGUCUCA
This 282-nucleotide small RNA is filed under the name Pongo abelii (Sumatran orangutan). The record is from RNAcentral. Lineage: Eukaryota; Metazoa; Chordata; Mammalia; Primates; Hominidae.